Poecilia reticulata (guppy) is the source of this 480-nucleotide non-coding RNA. Lineage: Eukaryota; Metazoa; Chordata; Actinopteri; Cyprinodontiformes; Poeciliidae. The record is from RefSeq and is a predicted model, not a curated record.
GCAGGAUUUGCAUGUAGAGCUGGAAGAGGAAACCCAGAGCAUUUCACUCAUUACAGUGAACCACAGUUUGUCUGGUCUGCAGAUCCUCAUCCAGCAGCGUCUCUCUCAGUGAGUCCUGACAGAGAGCAACACUUCACCUCUGAGUCUCUGACACUGAACUGUGGAGGAAACCCUGAGUGGAGAGUGAUGGCGUUUACAGAAACAGAUCAGAUGUUAUCACAGUGCUCCUACUGGUGGGACAUGCCUGCUUCCCCAUGUACCAUUAACAAUGACUGGUCCCAUGAAUCAGUGCACUGGUGUGAGUUUGGAUCAGGAGAGUUCAGCAAUGCAGUCAACAUCAGCAUAGAAGUUGCACCAGAUUCAGUCCUGACUGUGUCUCCAUCAUGGCUGAAUCCUGGAGCCUCAGUGACUCUGAGCUGUGAGGUUAAACCUUCAUCUGCAGGAUGGAGGUUCUACUGGUACAAAGCUGUUCCUGAUUUA